UGGAUGACCUGCCCUACAGCGGGGAAUAACCCGGGGGAAACUCGGGCUAAUACCGCAUACGACCGAGAGGUGAAAGGGGGCCGCAAGGCUCUCACUGAAGGAGGGUCCGCGUUCGAUUAGCUAGUUGGUAGGGUAAUGGCCUACCAAGGCGACGAUCGAUAGCCGGCCUGAGAGGGUGAUCGGCCACACUGGAACUGAGACACGGUCCAGACUCCUACGGGAGGCAG
RNAcentral lists this ribosomal RNA (227 nucleotides) under uncultured bacterium. Its description in RNAcentral is "partial 16S ribosomal RNA". It matches the Rfam family "Bacterial small subunit ribosomal RNA", at positions 118 to 351 of the family's 1533-position model. The record is from RNAcentral.